Molecule: long non-coding RNA, 1111 nt
Organism: Gadus morhua (Atlantic cod)
Lineage: Eukaryota; Metazoa; Chordata; Actinopteri; Gadiformes; Gadidae
Exons: 6
Source: RefSeq, a predicted model, not a curated record
CACACACACACACAAACAUGCAUUUUCUGAUUUGUCAAUAUGUUCAGUUAUUUUGGAAUCGUUCUUGUUGUUAAAUGUGUGUAGGUUAGGCAGGCAAGGCAGUAGGGUUAAACGGGUUAACAGAGUGUGAUUUUUGUUCUCAUGCAGAAGACCAGCUAUGUUUUCCGUUGUCUGCUUUGACAAUUCCGAGGAGGUGGAGGUUGUGCCAACGCAAUGGUACAAUAAUGGGGCGUGCAGGUGGCCCCCCCACAAGGCUGAGGGAGUCAAUCGGGCCAUAAGGCAGCUGGAAGAGCCCCAGGAUAACUGGCCUCUAUUUGACAAUGCCAGGGUUUUUUUUUCUUCAGAUAACUAUCUGGAGUGUCGACAGAAGCUGCCACUGGCUCAAAACCAGACGGAUUUGGCAUCAGAGGUCGAAGACCCAACAACAUACCGGAGACCCAAAAGAAAAAUCAAGCCAAGUAGACACGUCCGAUCGGACUUUGAAAGUCAAGACCCCUGCAGUCCUCCAAAGAAACAGGCCUUCCCAAUCCUCCCUGAGGCCCCUGCUAUCGCUGGACCGUCCAACUUCAGGCGCUUCAUACUAGCGCAGCCCACUCAAAGUGGGUGUUAUGAGGUCCCUGUGAACAAUGAGCAGCCUCAGGGUUUUCAGCUCUUCUGCGUGACCUGUUGGUUAACCAACAAAUACUGAUGGACCAGCAAAAGACCAUGAUUCGGAUGAUCCAAGACCUCUACAGAAACAGCCAGGGAGGUCAGAGGAUGUCCACCACCUCCAGGCAUACUGCCUAUUUUCCACUAGUGGAUAAACAGGCUCUGGAGGUCCUGGAGGGCGACCUGGCAAGCCAGCGGGAACUUCGUCAAGAAUUGGUUAUCACUCUUGGAUUGGCAGGGGGAGCUGAUGCCAAAGAUACUGUGUGGCGCAUUUUGAAACAGGCCAUCAAAAAUGACCUCGCCAAGAACAUCUCAUGGCGGGGGAUGAAUGGAAAGAUUUCAUUUGAAAAUCUACACCUGAAGGCAGUAGUGAUGGAUGCAGUGAGGCACAAUCCAUCCUGCUCAACCGCAACAGAUGUGCAGAUUGGGGAUGCCAUUAAGAGAUGGUUUUACUGGGCUGGGG